Molecule: unclassified non-coding RNA, 281 nt
Filed under: Diplodia sp.
Lineage: Eukaryota; Fungi; Ascomycota; Dothideomycetes; Botryosphaeriales; Botryosphaeriaceae
Also listed under: 1 other name
Description: partial contains 5.8S ribosomal RNA, internal transcribed spacer 2, and large subunit ribosomal RNA
Source: RNAcentral
AACGCACAUUGCGCCCCCUGGCAUUCCGGGGGGCAUGCCUGUUCGAGCGUCAUUACACCAAUCAAGCACCGCUUGGCGAUGGACACCGCCCGACCCCAGCGGCCGGGCGCGUCCCAAAAGAGUCGGCAGAGUCACACGGACCGCCGGGCGUAGCAGAGAGGACCUAGCGUCGUCGACGUCCGGACGCUCCGCGUCUCCAGCCGUGCGAGCCACGCCGUCCCCGAGAGGGGAUGGCACCAAAGGUUGACCUCGGAUCAGGUAGGGAUACCCGCUGAACUUAA